Molecule: ribosomal RNA, 253 nt
Filed under: uncultured bacterium
Lineage: Bacteria
Description: partial 16S ribosomal RNA
Rfam family: Bacterial small subunit ribosomal RNA
Source: RNAcentral
UACGUAGGGUGCAAGCGUUGUCCGGAAUUAUUGGGCGUAAAGAGCUUGUAGGCGGUUUGUCGCGUCUGCUGUGAAAUUUCGGGGCUCAACCCCGAACUUGCAGUGGGUACGGGCAGACUAGAGUGUGGUAGGGGAGACUGGAAUUCCUGGUGUAGCGGUGAAAUGCGCAGAUAUCAGGAGGAACACCGGUGGCGAAGGCGGCCCCCUGGACCGGUACUGACGCUGAGGCGCGAAAGCGUGGGUAGCAAACGGG